Chinchilla lanigera (long-tailed chinchilla) is the source of this 423-nucleotide long non-coding RNA. RefSeq lists it as uncharacterized. The transcript is spliced from 3 exons. The record is from RefSeq and is a predicted model, not a curated record. NCBI's taxonomy places the organism in Eukaryota, Metazoa, Chordata, Mammalia, Rodentia, Chinchillidae.
UGGAGCUUCAAUAAACUAACCCAGGAACUAUGGAAAAUGACCUAAACCUUGAGGAAUGAAGGUGUGGAUUACUCCACAAAUCUUCUGAGGCUGUUCCUUGCCAGCUGUCAUAGAAAUGUACCCUGGGGCAUCCAGAGCCUAUUCUUAGGUUCAUGCCAUGUGACCAUGUCUAUACCCUCUUCCAACAUGGCAACGCAAGGACACAUAGGCAUGCUUGGGGCUCUCCCAUCACUUUUGCCAAGUCACACAACCGUAUUUGCAGUAAGAAAGAAGAAAGAAGAGGUGAUCUAAGAACUGCGGCAGGGUAACGAGAAGAUGAGGAGCUAAAGGCUAACGAGUAAAGAAGCCCAGCAACGGGGAUAAAGAAACGCCUUAGGAGCACCUGCUGUGUUGGAAGCCAAAAGAAGAAAAUAUUGCAAUGCA